AUGAUGUGGUGUGUGUUGAACAAUUGUGGUCAAGCUCAGAAAUAUAUCGAAAUGUUCAGAGAUGAGUUAAAUAGAAAACGGGUGCUAAACAUUGAGAAAGAGCUUCAGAAAGAAUUCCAGACAUGGUUCAAGAACUAUAUCAUGAGGUUGCGGGAUGAACAUAGCGAAGAAAUAGAUGAAGAUCUCUUUUCCUUGGCAUGUGAACCAGAUCGGAGAGUCAGAAAAUACUCACCGUGCAUAGUGAAUGGUAUUAGAUAUAGCACUGUCGACCGUGAUAGCAACAAGAGAACACAGAACAGUGGAGUCAUGGCUGAAGGUGAACAUGCCAGUAAGGUCAUAGAUUUUUAUGGAACCUUGAAAGAGAUCAUCCAGUUGGACUAUAACUCCAACGAUAACUUGGACGGCAGGUCAGUUAUUUUGUUUAAAUGUGACUGGUUUAAACUUGAUGGAAAGAAGGAGCUAAAAAAUGACCGGUUUUUCAAAAGCAUCAAUGUUGAAAGUUUAUGGUACAAGGAUGAUUCUCUUAUUCUGGCUACUCAGGCAAGAAAAAUCUUUUAUUUGCCAGACACGAAGUAUGGGAAAAAUUGGCAAGUUGUGCAAACAUUUGACCAUAGGCAUCUCUUUAAUAUUAGUGAAACUGAGGGUGCACCUUUUACUGGUCUUGCAUAUCAAGAGGAGGAGUGUUGUGAUGAGGAAGGUAUGAGAACGUCGGUUUCUGAACAUACAUCUGAGAAGCCUUUGCAUAGAGACAAUGAGCAAGGCAUUAUUUUUGAAGCUGAUGUAAUUGCACGCUUGAUGAAAGAAAAGAACACAGAAGUGUAUGAAGGUGGCAAUGAAGAUGAAGAUGAUACAGGAAUGGAGUAUUGCAGCAAAGACGAAGGAGGCGGCAUGAUGGAUGUUGACAGCGAUGAUGAGUAG
RNAcentral lists this ribosomal RNA (918 nucleotides) under Triticum aestivum (bread wheat). RNAcentral describes it as "partial small subunit ribosomal RNA". Lineage: Eukaryota; Viridiplantae; Streptophyta; Magnoliopsida; Poales; Poaceae. The record is from RNAcentral.